CCUACGGGGGGCAGCAGUGGGGAAUAUUGCGCAAUGGGCGAAAGCCUGACGCAGCGACGCCGCGUGAGGGAUGAAGGUCUUCGGAUCGUAAACCUCUGUCAGCAGGGAAGAACGGUCACUGUGCUAAUCAGCAGUGAAUUGACGGUACCUGCAAAGGAAGCACCGGCUAACUCCGUGCCAGCAGCCGCGGUAAUACGGAGGGUGCGAGCGUUAGUCGGAAUUACUGGGCGGAAAGCGCUCGUAGGCGGUAUGUCAAGUCAAGGGGGAAAUCCCCGCGCUCAACGUGGGAACUGCCUUUGAAACUGGCAAACUGGAGUGUGUGAGAGGAUAGUGGAAGUCCAGGUGUAGGAGUGAAAUCCGUAGAUAUCUGGAGGAACAUCAGUGGCGAAGGCGACUAUCUGGCACAUAACUGACGCUGAGGAGCGAAAGCGUGGGUAGCAAACAGGAUUAGAUACCCCGGUAGUC
RNAcentral lists this ribosomal RNA (465 nucleotides) under uncultured bacterium. Its description in RNAcentral is "partial 16S ribosomal RNA". It matches the Rfam family "Bacterial small subunit ribosomal RNA", at positions 338 to 795 of the family's 1533-position model. The record is from RNAcentral.